AUUGAACGCUGGCGGCAGGCUUAACACAUGCAAGUCGAGCGGAGCGAGGGUGCUUGCACCUUAGCUUAGCGGCGGACGGGUGAGUAAUGCUUAGGAAUCUGCCUAUUAGUGGGGGACAACAUUCCGAAAGGAAUGCUAAUACCGCAUACGCCCUACGGGGGAAAGCAGGGGAUCUUCGGACCUUGCGCUAAUAGAUGAGCCUAAGUCGGAUUAGCUAGUUGGUGGAGUAAAGGCCUACCAAGGCGACGAUCUGUAGCGGGUCUGAGAGGAUGAUCCGCCACACUGGGACUGAGACACGGCCCAGACUCCUACGGGAGGCAGCAGUGGGGAAUAUUGGACAAUGGGCGGAAGCCUGAUCCAGCCAUGCCGCGUGUGUGGAGAAGGCCUUUUGGUUGUAAAGCACUUUAAGCGAGGAGGAGGCUACUUAGAUUAAUACUCUGGGAUAGUGGACGUUACUCGCAGAAUAAGCACCGGCUAACUCUGUGCCAGCAGCCGCCGUAA
RNAcentral lists this ribosomal RNA (501 nucleotides) under uncultured bacterium. Its description in RNAcentral is "partial 16S ribosomal RNA". It matches the Rfam family "Bacterial small subunit ribosomal RNA", at positions 30 to 523 of the family's 1533-position model. The record is from RNAcentral.